Non-coding RNA from Pelobates cultripes (western spadefoot toad), 478 nucleotides. The record is from the annotation of a GenBank genome assembly. NCBI's taxonomy places the organism in Eukaryota, Metazoa, Chordata, Amphibia, Anura, Pelobatidae.
AUUGGAGUAUCGCUGUCACAGGUGCUGAAACAGAAUCCAAGUCCUGAGCCAGGCACCAGCCAGUCCAAGCGGUCCCAUAUGAUCGUCUAGUUCCGGGGGCCCAUGUGUCAGCCAGGAGGCGUCGAGUUGCACCCGAAACUCCUUGGAUAUCCCUUGGAUCCCGUAAGUCCUCCAUGCAAGUAGCAGCAACGACCCAUCCAGAAGAAGUGGGUGUCGUUGGCCCAAUGGGUCCAGCAGAAGAUCCUGGCAGAAGUCUGGGUACAUCUAUCGCCAGUUUCAGGAGUUGUGGGAACCACGACUGGGUCCCCCAGAAUGGAGUCAGUAGGACCAAGUCGGCUAUCUGGCGUCGUACUUGGAGUAGAACCUGAGGAAUCAUGGCAAAUGGAGGGAAGACGUAAAAGGGUGAGUCGGUCCAGUCUUGUAGGAAGCGAAGAGGUCGAUGGUAAAAGGUCUCCAGAGAGACGAGAUAGCAAAGAAC